UACGGAGGGUGCGAGCGUUAAUCGGAAUUACUGGGCGUAAAGGGUGCGUAGGUGGUUGAGUAAGUCAUUUGUGGAAUUCCUGGGCUUAACCUGGGGUUGUCAGAUGAGACUGUUUGACUCGAGUAUGGGAGAGGGUAGUGGAAUUUCCGGUGUAGCGGUGAAAUGCGUAGAGAUCGGAAGGUACACCAGUGGCGAAGGCGGCUACCUGGCCUAAUACUGACACUGAGGCACGAAAGCAUGGCUAGCGAACAGG
This 253-nucleotide unclassified non-coding RNA is filed under the name uncultured Legionellaceae bacterium. Its description in RNAcentral is "contains 16S-23S intergenic spacer region". It matches the Rfam family "Bacterial small subunit ribosomal RNA", at positions 524 to 776 of the family's 1533-position model. Lineage: Bacteria; Pseudomonadati; Pseudomonadota; Gammaproteobacteria; Legionellales; Legionellaceae. The record is from RNAcentral.